Long non-coding RNA from Gopherus flavomarginatus (Mexican gopher tortoise), 3074 nucleotides. RefSeq lists it as uncharacterized. NCBI's taxonomy places the organism in Eukaryota, Metazoa, Chordata, Testudines, Testudinidae. The transcript is spliced from 4 exons. The record is from RefSeq and is a predicted model, not a curated record.
UGCUCUCGCUGUUUCCCGGAGCACCUUCCCCCGUCGCGGAAAUGAGCCCAGCCGGCCCCGAGGCCAAGCGUGACAAGGCACCGGGCCUCCCGGAGCUGGGGUCUGCCGCCCUUCGCUAGGGCCGCUUGGCGUGUGUAGGAGUCACACAGCGGGCGGCCGGGGGAGUCCCAACAUCUUCAUCGUGCAGCAGUGAGAGCGGGAGGGGAGGGGUGUAUGAGGAGAUUGAAACCCGGAGUUGUACCUGUGCCUGCCGGGCCGGUCUGCCUUUUGCUCCGGGUGCCCUGUGAUGUGGAUCGCUCCGAGGGAAAGGAGAGACUGUUCUGCUCACCUUGGUAUUUCCAUUGUUCCCAGCCGUACUCUUAUUGUCCGAUUGACCCAGGAUAUGGUUUCCCCGCCUAGGGUCGAGGCUGGAACCUUUGCAGAGUUAAAUUGACUGCUCUCAGCUCUAGGUUUAUGCUGUGAGCCUUCCCCUCCUCGCUCCAGAGGCCUUGGUAGGUGUUGCAAGGACUAAAGGAUUUGGAAGGCAGAGGAGCAGGCGUUUGUGGACACUGUCAUGGACUGCCCACCUGUGCUGAAACGCAUACUUGAUUUUUCAUGGGCUGUGGGGAGUCCUGAACUUUUCAUAUGAAAGCUUUAAAGACUUCUGAUGUUUGCUUGUGCCCAUGAAGUGAUCCCUAUGCAGACUACGAGGAGUCCUUGCAGUUGGAGGCAUAAUGCCUCCUCUGGCUCUGGAGCAAGAAAAUAAAUUCCUGGGUAAAACCAAACAACUUUUCUUGGCCCUGAUGAAGAAGCCAUGUAUGUGGAGGAGAUUCCACAUCCAAGAUGUAGCCUUGAGCACUGCGGACUGAGAUAGAGCUCUGAUCAGGAUAUUGUCCGGGAAGGGAUACAGGUGAGUUCCCUGUGACCUGUCUGGCUCUUGACAGUACCAACAUCUUUGUAAAAACCUGGGGGCCAUGGGCAGGUCAAAUGGGAGUGUUAGAAAUGGAUACUGGCUCCUGGCGUAUGCAAAUCUCAGAAGUCUGUAGUGACAUGAUUUGGGGAAUAUGGAGAUAAGAUUCCACUACAUCUACUGAAGUCAAGAAGCCCACUGGGACAGGGAUGACACUGCAGAGACCAUGGUCUCCAUCUGAAACUUUUUCUUCAUCCACUUGUUGAGCCUUUUGAGGUAAAGAAUGACUCUGAUGCACCCUUCCCUACCCUCACUGUUGCAUAAUGAAGAUGUAGAACCCAAAGAACCUUUCUUCUGAGGGAAGGUAUUCUAUCACUCCCAUAUCCAGAAAAUGAGAUAUUUCCUUCUGAAUCGGAUUGUGUUUUAUGGGGUCACUGUUUCCUGAGUCACUUGUGCAUGGUCAAUGAAAACCAUUUCUUUAGGAAAUGGGAGAUCCUGACUGCAGCUUUAGCUGUAGGUGGAGACCUGUGUGAUCUGUGUCAAAGUGGAUGGGGAAAGGGCAGGCAGAGAGGCUAAGGUCCCUCUAGACUUUGUCCAUUUUCCUUGAGGGAAUCUGUUGUGGCUUUGCUGGUACCUCUGAGGAUGAGCAGCAAAAAGAGCACCUCUCUGAAAGCCGGUUUAUAUCGUCUCCUGGGGGACCUUAAUGGGGAAAGGGGAGGCAAUGCAACACAAUCCAAACAAUCAGCCACCACUUUAUCCAUGUUUUCUUCAACAAGGAGGGAAAUGUAACCUUGGCUGAGCACAGGACCUGCAUAGAGUGAGAAGCCACCUUCCAGGGACUGAACCAUAGAUGCUGCAUGGCUGCUGAGCUGGAAGCCAUGGCUCAGGCUGAAACCCUCAUUGUAACUGAUACCUCAAUAGAUGCAAAUACUGUUGCUAGUGACUCCUUAAAGUGGAGCCCAAGUGAACUCCCGGAUGGCAUUGAUGUUACAUCCUCCUCUUCCAAUGACUCUGGAAAUUACUGUUGAUGGGACAGAAACCUUCUUUGAUCUAUGCAGAAGAAAAAAGUAUUAAGGGAAAUAGAGAAGUUUUGAUGAUCUGAAAUAAGGUGUUGAAGGCAACCCUCAAUAUGGAAAACUGCAAGAAAUCUCUGAGUGCAGCAAACAUCUCCCAGUAGCAGAAGGCAGGGAGAAGGUGUAACAAAUUAAAAAGAGGAUCUGAACUCAAGAUUCAUCACAACAGCAUGAGAGAUAAUGACAUCAACAUCUCAAUUGGAAACAGGGAGGUGUCCUUCCUUGCCUUGUCAUAAAACUCUUGCAGGAUGAACAAGAACCCUGACCUCAGGUGUUAGUAGACAAGUAAAAACUCAUUUUCAAAUAAUUUGAUUUUAACAUUUGUCAUUUUUAAAAUCAACUACAUAUUCUGUUAUUUCUAGUCUACUCCUGAGAAAUGCUGAAGACUCAACAAUUGCCACUGAUAGCUGUGGGUACCCCUGAUUUUUUUCCAUUGUUACCUUAGUUUUAAUUUCUCAUUAAAAAAAGGGAAAAUUUUAGAAGUCAUUUCAUCAGCUGACUUUAUAAAAGUGGUUCCAUUUUCAGUCGGUUCAAACUUAAGUAAUCAUGGUGAAAAACUGGUGACUUUCCAUUUGAUGAGACAAAUGUCAAAGACAUGGUGAGCUAAAUUAAUUUCUGGUGUAACUCAAGUGACACCAUCCCUGAGUCUUAGUAAGUCAAACAUUCCAUGGAGAGACACCAUGAAGUCUCUAGGAUACACAGCAAAGAUGUUUUAGUUUGCUGGAUAUUGUAUUGAGCCAAAUUAAUCUCCAGUAUUGUGGCAGCUUGAAUUCAGACUUUAAAACUUAAAUUGUACAGCAUUUUUGAAGUUUACCUAUUUGUACUACAUUCCCUAUUUACAAAUAAAAAUGGGUUAUUUUAACAUUAGUGGUUCAGAACUCUGAAAUUUAAUUUAUACAAACUCAGACUAAUCCUGAAAACCUUCCACACGUGCAACUCCCACAGACUUAAUUGGAUAUUGCAAAACACACAGCUUGUAGAAUUGGGACCAAUGAAUGUGAAAAAUAUUUGAUUCAGAUGUAAAUUGUAAAUAAAUCUAACCAUUCAUAAAAGGAAGUGUUCAGAUAGUGCACCCCCAAAAUGGAAUCAUGAAUCCUCAAUAUUUAAAUGGA